RNAcentral lists this ribosomal RNA (483 nucleotides) under Pseudoalteromonas sp. Its description in RNAcentral is "bacterial SSU rRNA". It matches the Rfam family "Bacterial small subunit ribosomal RNA", at positions 30 to 508 of the family's 1533-position model. Lineage: Bacteria; Pseudomonadati; Pseudomonadota; Gammaproteobacteria; Alteromonadales; Pseudoalteromonadaceae. The record is from RNAcentral.
AUUGAACGCUGGCGGCAGGCCUAACACAUGCAAGUCGAGCGGUAACAUUUCUAGCUUGCUAGAAGAUGACGAGCGGCGGACGGGUGAGUAAUGCUUGGGAACAUGCCUUGAGGUGGGGGACAACCAUUGGAAACGAUGGCUAAUACCGCAUAAUGUCUACGGACCAAAGGGGGCUUCGGCUCUCGCCUUUAGAUUGGCCCAAGUGGGAUUAGCUAGUUGGUGAGGUAACGGCUCACCAAGGCGACGAUCCCUAGCUGGUUUGAGAGGAUGAUCAGCCACACUGGAACUGAGACACGGUCCAGACUCCUACGGGAGGCAGCAGUGGGGAAUAUUGCACAAUGGGCGCAAGCCUGAUGCAGCCAUGCCGCGUGUGUGAAGAAGGCCUUAGGGUUGUAAAGCACUUUCAGUCAGGAGGAAAGGUUAGUAGUUAAUACCUGCUAGCUGUGACGUUACUGACAGAAGAAGCACCGGCUAACUCCGUGC